RNAcentral lists this unclassified non-coding RNA (404 nucleotides) under soil metagenome. Its description in RNAcentral is "partial contains 5.8S ribosomal RNA, internal transcribed spacer 2, and large subunit ribosomal RNA". The stretch from base 1 to 122 matches the Rfam family "5.8S ribosomal RNA", at positions 35 to 154 of the family's 154-position model. The record is from RNAcentral.
GAUGAAGAACGUAGCAAAAUGCGAUACUUGGUGUGAAUUGCAGAAUCCCGUGAACCAUCGAGUUUUUGAACGCAAGUUGCGCCCGAAGCCUUUUGGCCGAGGGCACGUCUGCCUGGGCGUCACGCAUCGCGUCGCCCCCCACAACUCUCCGUAAAGGGAACUUGUGUUUUGGGGGCGGAUAUUGGUCUCCCGUGCUCAUGGCGUGGUUGGCCGAAAUAGGCGUCCCUCCGGUGGACGCACGAACUAGUGGUGGUCGUAAAAACCCUCGUCUUUUGUUUCGUGCCGUUAGUCGCGAGGGAAACUCUUUAAAAACCCAAAUGUGUCGUCUCUUGACGGCGCUUCGACCGCGACCCCAGGUCAGGCGGGACUACCCGCUGAGUUUAAGCAUAUCAAUAAGCGGAGGA